Molecule: ribosomal RNA, 491 nt
Filed under: uncultured bacterium
Lineage: Bacteria
Description: partial 16S ribosomal RNA
Rfam family: Bacterial small subunit ribosomal RNA
Source: RNAcentral
AGUGAACGCUGGCGGUAGGCCUAACACAUGCAAGUCGAACGGCAGCACAGUAAGAACUUGCUCUUACGGGUGGCGAGUGGCGGACGGGUGAGGGAAACACCGGAAUAUACUUUUUCGUAGGGGAUAACGAAGGGGAACUUACGCUAUAACGCAUACGUCCUACGGGUGAAAGCAGGGGAACUUCGAACCUUGCGCGAUCGGAUGAGCCGAUGUCGGGUUAGCUAGUUGGCGUGGUAGAGGCCCAGCACGGCGACGAUCCGUAGCGGGUCGGUGAGGAUGAUCAGCCACACUGGAACUGAGCCACGGUCCAGACUCCUACGGUACGCAGCGCUGGGGAAUAUUGGACUAGGGGCGCAAGCCUGAUCCAGCCCUGCCGCGUGGGUGACGAAGGCCCUCGGGUUUUAGUGCUAUUCUGUUGUUAUAAAAAAGUAGCAGGUUAAUCCCCCGCUUUUCUGACGGUACCCAAAGAAUAAGCACCGGCUAACUUCGUG